CGCUCAUCUCGCUCUGUAGGCCGAGGGAGCCGGCAUUUGUCCACAGACAGCUUCUGGGUCAUGUGGCCAGCAUGACUAAGCUGCUUCUGGCAAGCCAGAGCAGUGCACGGAAAUGCCGUUUACCUUCCCGCCGGAGCGGUACCUAUUUAUCUACUUGCAGUUUGACGUGCUUUCGAACUGCUAGGUGGGCAGGAGCUGGGACCGAACAACGGGAGCUCACCCCAUCGCAGGGAUUCAAACCACCAGCCUUCUGAUUGGCAAGCUCUAGGCUCUGGUUUAGACCACAGUGCCGUCCACACAUACCCUUUUACCAUGUUUAAUUAGGCUGCCUGCUCAUUGAUAUUAAACAUCAGGCAAAGUAAUAAGGUAGCAUUCUGCUUGUGAUCAGCUUCAUUUUUUGAGGGAAGACUCAAUACACUUAUUAGCGAGAAGCAGAGCUUUUUUUUCAGCCAGAGCUCAGCUCUGGCACCUUUCAGGUGAGCGCCAUUGUCAUUCUAAGAGAACAAGGGAGAAGUUCCUGGUAAACUCCAGCACCUCUUUUCCUAUAAAAAUAACACUGCCAAGAAGACACUGCUGAUUUUAAAGAGCCUGCAUCUCUGGAAGCGGAUCAGGUGCAAAGUCCUGUGUGUAAUUUAUAAACUUGUCUCUCUGCCUCCUGUAUGGACGAUAUUCUAUCUUUUGAAAGGAGGCUGGACUUUGGUGGACAAUAUUGUUUACAGAACCGUUUGCAAAACAUGGCAUUCACUUCAAAAAGCAAUAGUUUCCUACAGUCCAUUUUUACUUACACUGAUCUUCAGCAUAGUAAAGGAUUUUGUUAGAAAGAAUUAUUAUCUCUUCUCUGAUCAGCCUACCACUGUUUCUGAUAAAGACUGCUGACUGGUGUUUUACAGCAGCAGGUUUAAACAUGCUGUUCUAAUAUAAGCACAGUAAAGUUAGGCUUAUUUCUGGUAACAACAAUUUAAAGUUGUUACCAACUGCUGAAUAUGCACAAGAUUUCCUCCGUAUUGGGACAUUUUAAUUUUAGCCUGCUUCCUGAAAGAAAUAACCUAGCCUUUCAUUUGCAGAUUCCACGGUAUAUCAUUUAGUACAAUAUUGGACAGCUGGAAUGUUCUUGGUGAUAAUUGUAGAAAAUAUUAAUUCUGUGGAACCUAGUUCAACGUUUGGCCUUAAAAUCAUAUUGAUUAAAUUAACUAGUGCAUAGGUAUCCUGCCGGCAUGUGUACUAAAGGCAGAGGCAACCUUAUCACUAAGGCAGGGUGAGGUAGUAACUGCAGAUGCCAAUUGUUCCUCUUGACUCUCCCAACCAUUUUCAUUUGUUAGUGGUAUGCCCUGCAUAACCAGCCUACUCCCUCAUCUAUAGUUGACUCGUAUUUUGUUAAAGAAUGGACUUAUGAAUGUGGCCUUAUCAAUGGCACCCAAACCUUAGGAUCCAGCAGUAUUCUCAGUGGGUGUGGUCCAAAAUACUUACAGAUAAAAGAUCUUCAGAAUAAGGGCUGAACUCGGAAAGACCCACAACAGGGCUGUUUUGCUUUCUUUUUCCAACAGUAGCUUCCCCAUGCUGUUUUGCAUAUCACUACAACAUACCCACAUUUCAACACGUUGGCAGGGGCAUCACUAUCCUAAUGCAAACAUAAAGCAGUAUCUUGUGCUGCUUUCAGUCGUGGAACCAGUCACAAUGUAAUAAAUGAGCUGUGUGUUUUGCCAACUUCAGUUGGAACUUGGCUGGGCUGCCUUUUUCUUACCUGGGAACUAUGAAUGUCUGCCUAUGUGAGGUAGUGCUCAAAUGGCAUUCCCUUUCCCAACAAGAAAAACUAUGUCUUUAGUUUUAGUGGGUAUAUUGGGGUAGUGUUGUUCACUUUUAGCAUGACGUUAACCAGAAGCAAGCAUUGGAAAUUGAAGCUUUUAAUUUCAACUUCCUUGAUUGCAGCUGUAGUCCCUCUUCAAAAUAUUAGUGACAAAAUAAUGGAAAGUAUACCCCUCUCCACCAAAGCUUACUUUUCCCUCCUUCUAGCCUUAACUGCGUAGGAGCAACAGAGGUUUAAUUUGCAGUUGGUAGCUGCAUUCCCCCAAGGACACAAUCAGUGAAUGAUACUAAUUGGAAAUGAUCCAUAAAAAUAGAACAACAAGGCUGACCUUAUGUAUCCUAAGUUCAGAUUUUACAGUCAGGCUAGUGAUCCUGAAGACGUACUGAAUAGGAAUUAUUUUGUCAACAAGAUAGGUAGUAAACACAUUGCUGUGGGCAGAAUUUAUCUAGGAUUCCAGAGGCAGCUUGGAAUUGCCAUACUGUUUGUCACCCAUUGUCAUUUUAAAAGAAUCUGUGCCACAAAUGGCUGACUUUGGCGCUACAUGGUUUCGCUGGCUACCUCCUGUUUAUAAAGAUUUACAGGGUCACUGCAAUGUUAAGUGCAGAUUUUGCUACUGGUGAACUUUACUAUGUGAAGUAUUCAGGGCCUAUUCAUAUUUUAAAUUAACUUUACAAUAAUUGUUACCUUGAUGUAUUGAGCAUUUCCUGAAGAACAUUUUAGGAUUCCAGAAGAACACAUACCAAUGCCCUAAUAUAAACAUAUUAAUUGGUAUGGGAUUGCUCCACUUAAAUUGGCUAUAAGCAACAAUAUUUCAUUAUGUUUCUUACUCAUGAAAAUAAGGUCUCUGUUGUUACCGCAAUUACACUUCCACUGCUUGCCACCAUAACCUGGUAACAGCAGCAGCAAAAUACUUUUGUUCGGGGCUUUACAUUAUGUGGAAUAUUAUACAACUAUAAUAUGUUUGUUUUUAUUUUUAGACAACCACUUCACUUUAAAAUAUUGUAAAGAUUUAACUGAAUUUUUUAUUACAGUUUAGGUGUACAGCACGUAGGAAACACAGAACAUAAACCCAAAGGCUGAGUCACAUGUGAAAUCUACGUGAACAGUUAAUCUUUGAUUUCAGUAAGAACUAUGCAACUCAAGGUUUUUUGCAUUCUAGUGGACUACAUUAAUGUGAAUGUUACAUGUGGAUUAAAACGGCUACGUCAAGAACAAUAACUUCCUCCAAUAACCAUAGAAGCCACAAGUAAUCUGAUGCAGGGAUUCCAGCAAGAGUCAGACCUUUAAAAAUAUCGCCUUCUAAGUUGUUUCCAAAAUUCCCCACUUCCCUUAGCAUAGAAAGAGACCACACUUGGCAAGAAAGGAUCUAAAGAAAGCAGAUGUCAGACGAACUGUAGUGGGUUUCACAGAAUCCCUUUCAUCUACUUAAACCACUCAUGAA
Podarcis raffonei (Aeolian wall lizard) is the source of this 3245-nucleotide long non-coding RNA. RefSeq lists it as uncharacterized. The record is from RefSeq and is a predicted model, not a curated record. Lineage: Eukaryota; Metazoa; Chordata; Lepidosauria; Squamata; Lacertidae. The transcript is spliced from 3 exons.